AACCUCUGAUCAUUUCUAGCAGUUUUUUGUGGGCUCUGCCUCAAUUCUAUGAGCCGUAAGUAAGCAUCAAUCGCUCUUUCAGAUAAUCCCCGCUGCGAAUUGGAGGAAAUCUUUGGGGCCUGGAUUCACUGCAACAACUUCCCAAACAUUGCACAAUGCAUUCUGUGUUAGGAUCUAAGAAGAAUGCCAGAGAGUAGCGUUCUUGUCCUGUUGGCAUCACUCUGUGUAGCGUGGACCGAAACAAACAAUUAGUCCACCUCUCCAUCAUGUCCCCAAUGUUAACUAUGAAGGCCCCAUUCAUAUGGAACACAUUUUCCCAGGUCUGUGGAUCCUUGAAUUUCUCCCUACAAACCUGAAGUCCUGGCACACCAUCAGUCACCAGAAGAGUGAUCAUUCCAUAAUCUGAAUGUGCUGAAGCACCAAAUAUUUGUUCCUCAAAAUGCCCCAGUUCACCUGGAUAAUGUAAGAGGCGAAGAAAGCUUUCUGGUUCAUC
RNAcentral lists this unclassified non-coding RNA (493 nucleotides) under Hevea brasiliensis (rubber tree). The record is from RNAcentral. Lineage: Eukaryota; Viridiplantae; Streptophyta; Magnoliopsida; Malpighiales; Euphorbiaceae.